CCUGCAAGACAUGACUCCCAUGUGGCUCUUCCUCUUCCUGCUGGCAGCUCCCAGAUGUGUCCUGUCCCAGGUGCAGCUGCAGGAGUCGGGCCCAGGACUGUUGAAGCCCUCGCAGACCCUCUCCCUCACCUGCACUGUCUCUGGAUUCUCUAUCACAACCAGUGGUUAUGCCUGGAGCUGGAUACGUCAGCCCCCAGGGAAAGGGCUGGAGUGGAUGGGGAAUAUCUGGUAUGAUGAAGACACUUACUACAACCCAUCCCUCAAGAGCCGAACCUCCAUCUCCAGAGACGUGUCCAAGAACCAGUUCUCCCUGCAGCUGAGCUCCAUAAGCACCGAGGACACGGCCGUGUAUUACUGUGCA
Non-coding RNA from Myotis daubentonii (Daubenton's bat), 361 nucleotides. Lineage: Eukaryota; Metazoa; Chordata; Mammalia; Chiroptera; Vespertilionidae. The record is from the annotation of a RefSeq genome assembly.